Molecule: ribosomal RNA, 774 nt
Filed under: uncultured Neocallimastigales
Lineage: Eukaryota; Fungi; Neocallimastigomycota; Neocallimastigomycetes; Neocallimastigales
Description: partial large subunit ribosomal RNA
Rfam family: Eukaryotic large subunit ribosomal RNA
Source: RNAcentral
UGUGUAUCAGUACAUGGCAUAUCAAUAAGCGGAGGAAAAGAAACUAACAAGGAUUCCCUUAGUAACGGCGAGUGAAGCGGGAAGAGCUCAAAUUUGAAAUCUUCAAGGUUCUACCUUGACGAAUUGUAGUUUAUAGAAGUGUUUUCUGUUAGUAGAGUGGCAAAAGUUCUUUGGAAUAGGACAUCAUAGAGGGUGAGAAUCCCGUAUUUGGUCAUUCCUUCUAGCGUUGUGAUACACUUUCAACGAGUCGGAUUGUUUGGGAAUGCAGUCCAAAAUGGGUGGUAAAUUUCAUCUAAAGCUAAAUAUUGGCGAGAGACCGAUAGCGAACAAGUACCGUGAGGGAAAGAUGAAAAGAACUUUGAAAAGAGAGUUAAACAGUACGUGAAAUUGUCAAAAGGGAAGCGUUUGACACCAGUGUUGUUUUUCCGAAAAUCAAUUACGAAUGUUUUGUUUUUGAGGAGUUAUGACUUCAUCGGCUUGCUUCUCUCUUUACGAAACUUUCUUAAUGCACUUUUCGGUUAACAAGUCAACAUCAAUUUCUUUUGUUGUAAAAGGGUAUGAGGAAGGUGGCUUUCUUUUCGGAGAAAGUGUUUAUAGCCUUGUAGCCUCUGCAAUCGGAGAGAUUGAGGUCUGCAGCGUAGAUCCUUCGGGGUUAGAUACGUUUGUGCUAAGUUAUAGCUUUUCAUAGACAACUUGUUGACUAUGUUAGUCUUGUAGCUUACUCGCUUAUGCUAUUUUACCUACGCUUAGGAUGUUGACAGCAGUAUAGACUGU